Molecule: long non-coding RNA, 214 nt
Filed under: Elaeis guineensis (African oil palm)
Lineage: Eukaryota; Viridiplantae; Streptophyta; Magnoliopsida; Arecales; Arecaceae
Description: long non-coding RNA (EGUI_LNC038346)
Source: RNAcentral
GCAGCAAAAUCCUUCGGAACCACUGGUCUCGUUGGCGGUUUGUCGCUGGUCUCACAACGACAUGUCACUGGUCUCGCUAGCGACACAAACUCUUAGGACAAAUCAAUUGCCAACGUAUAUUCUCCUAUUGGUGGGGUUCUUUACAUAAUCAGAUUGUCAAUUCAUAUUGUUCUUGUAUCAAAAUUCUUCAUAAUUCAUGUUCUUAUUCUAGUUC